Molecule: ribosomal RNA, 698 nt
Filed under: Janibacter limosus
Lineage: Bacteria; Bacillati; Actinomycetota; Actinomycetes; Micrococcales; Intrasporangiaceae
Description: bacterial SSU rRNA
Rfam family: Bacterial small subunit ribosomal RNA
Source: RNAcentral
AGUCGAACGGUGAAGCUCCAGCUUGCUGGAGUGGAUCAGUGGCGAACGGGUGAGUAACACGUGAGCAACCUGCCCCAAACUCUGGAAUAAGCGCUGGAAACGGCGUCUAAUACUGGAUACGAGACCAACCUGCAUGGGUAUGGUUUGGAAAGUUUUUCGGUUUGGGAUGGGCUCGCGGCCUAUCAGCUUGUUGGUGAGGUAAUGGCUCACCAAGGCGACGACGGGUAGCCGGCCUGAGAGGGCGACCGGCCACACUGGGACUGAGACACGGCCCAGACUCCUACGGGAGGCAGCAGUGGGGAAUAUUGCACAAUGGGCGAAAGCCUGAUGCAGCGACGCCGCGUGAGGGAUGACGGCCUUCGGGUUGUAAACCUCUUUCAGCAGGGAAGAAGCGAAAGUGACGGUACCUGCAGAAGAAGCACCGGCUAACUACGUGCCAGCAGCCGCGGUAAUACGUAGGGUGCGAGCGUUGUCCGGAAUUAUUGGGCGUAAAGAGCUUGUAGGCGGUUUGUCGCGUCUGCUGUGAAAAUCCGGGGCUCAACCCCGGACUUGCAGUGGGUACGGGCAGACUAGAGUGUGGUAGGGGAGACUGGAAUUCCUGGUGUAGCGGUGAAAUGCGCAGAUAUCAGGAGGAACACCGAUGGCGAAGGCAGGUCUCUGGGCCACUACUGACGCUGAGAAGCGAAAGCAUGGGGAGC